UACGAAGGGGGCUAGCGUUGUUCGGAAUUACUGGGCGUAAAGGGCGCGCAGGCGGCCCUCCAAGUCAGGUGUGAAAGCCCCGGGCUCAACCCGGGAAUUGCACUUGAGACUGGGGGGCUUGAGUUCGGGAGAGGAGAGUGGAAUUCCCAGUGUAGAGGUGAAAUUCGUAGAUAUUGGGAAGAACACCGGUGGCGAAGGCGGCUCUCUGGACCGACACUGACGCUGAGGCGCGAAAGCGUGGGGAGCAAACAGG
RNAcentral lists this ribosomal RNA (253 nucleotides) under uncultured bacterium. RNAcentral describes it as "partial 16S ribosomal RNA". It matches the Rfam family "Bacterial small subunit ribosomal RNA", at positions 524 to 776 of the family's 1533-position model. The record is from RNAcentral.